This 386-nucleotide ribosomal RNA is filed under the name uncultured bacterium. Its description in RNAcentral is "bacterial SSU rRNA". It matches the Rfam family "Bacterial small subunit ribosomal RNA", at positions 28 to 418 of the family's 1533-position model. The record is from RNAcentral.
GACGAACGCUGGCGGCGUGCUUAACACAUGCAAGUCGAGCGGUAAGGCCCUUCGGGGUACACGAGCGGCGAACGGGUGAGUAAUACUUAGGAAUCUACCCUGUAGUGGGGGACGAACCCGGGGAAACGUCGGGCUAAUACCGCAUACGCUCUACGGAGGAAAGCGGGGGACCGCAAGGCCUCGCGCUAUUGGAUGAGCCUAAGCCCGAUUAGCUAGUUGGUGGGGUAAUAGCCUACCAAGGCAAUGANCGGUAGCUGGUCUGAGAGGACGACCAGCCACACUGGGACUGAGACACGGCCCAGACUCCUACGGGAGGCAGCAGUGGGGAAUCUUGCGCAAUGGGCGAAAGCCUGACGCAGCGACGCCGCGUGAGGGAUGACGGCCUU